UGGUCUCUUUUUAAUGUCCCUUUUUCUGUAGGCAGCUGCUCCCAACCUCAGCCCCUCUGCUGCCUUGGAACAGACCAACACUGUAAGAGAGGAAGCUGCUACUGUGAUGAUUUCUGCCAUGUGGCAUCAGACUGCUGCCCAGACCACCAUGCCCUCUGCAACCCAGCUUCUCAGACUACCAAGAUGGCGCUGCAGAUGGUUCUGAGGAUGGAGAAGCCCCCACGCCCUGCAAGACACAAUCUAGACAGGAUGCAGAGCAUAGUCCAACAGCUUCUCCGAACCAACUUUCCAGGGAUGCCUCUCUCCAUCUCCGUGAAGGGAAUCAAGAAGAGAGUCUGAUAUCCCCUGUGAAGCCUGUCCCGAGCCCCCCCACCCCACUUUCCCACCGCCAGGCCUGCUGGGGCCUCAUCACUGGACACAGUGUGCUUGGCUUCUAUCCUGCAUGUUUCCACAUUGGCUCACCCAGAGGAAAACAGAAAUCUGCAAUUGUCAUAAACACAUUUAAAUCAGCCCUACAGAGUAUAAAACAUAAAUUUGGCUCAUGGAAUUCAUUGUUUGUGGUGGUUACAAUGAAUAUAGCAAAC
Molecule: long non-coding RNA, 584 nt
Filed under: Mustela putorius furo (domestic ferret)
Lineage: Eukaryota; Metazoa; Chordata; Mammalia; Carnivora; Mustelidae
Description: lncRNA (ENSMPUG00000029949.1)
Source: RNAcentral